UCCCAGUAUUAAUUGUGAUAACAUAGAUUGUCAGCAAUCUACACAGAUCGAAAUAAUUAAUCAAGACUGUGCUAGCGACACAGAUCAUGCAUUAAAUUCUAGUAAUUGGCAUGAUCAAAUAACAGAUAUUCGUAAAUAUGCAAGCUGCCCUGAUAUAUUCUCCCAAUGUAAAGAGUCAUUCGGUUUAUUAUUCAUUGUUCAUGAUGACUUAUUAGACCUGAAUAACCUCCAACAGCUGGUACCUUUAUCACAGACAAAAAGAACGAAACCAUCAAAGGAGCGAAAGAUGACAUUUUAUUGGACAACUAUGACUUGGUGGUGCUUAGGAAUGUAAACAAUACUUUAAGUUAUCCGUCCACAGUAAAUUUAUAUCAGCAACUGGAUACACAUGAAAUACCAAAAAAUUCAGAACCAUCAACUAAUUUUCACUCUCUUAAUGAUGAGCCAAGUAAUUUAUCUGGUUUAAAUAGUAAUUGUGAUGAGACAGACUGUCAGCAAUCUGGACAGUUUAGAAUAAUUGAUCAAGAGUGUGCUAACAGCGACACUGAUUAUGUAUUAACUUUCAGUAAUUGGUAUGACGAAAUAACAAAAAUCCGUAAAU
Microplitis mediator is the source of this 601-nucleotide long non-coding RNA. RefSeq lists it as uncharacterized. NCBI's taxonomy places the organism in Eukaryota, Metazoa, Arthropoda, Insecta, Hymenoptera, Braconidae. The transcript is spliced from 3 exons. The record is from RefSeq and is a predicted model, not a curated record.